AGAAAGAUGAAGUCUUCCGGUUUGAAAAUGACAAGUAUAAGUUCUCUGGUCUAGACCCCGUGAAUCUGUUCUUUCCUCUACCAAAGUCUAUACUUCAAUAUUUUUUAAAGUUCGGUAGUAGUUCGUUACCUCCUUCGAUAUCUAGGACCUCGUACCUUGAAUAUUUAGUGCGAUCCGGUGGUCGGUAAGACCUCCGUAACAGCGCUGCGUCGUCAUACCCGGCGAGCUAAUAAAAAACCGACGACCGUCAGCCAUGUGGCAAUUAACAAAGAGGUGGACUCAACAUGUGAUGGAAAAAUAAAAAUAAAUCUAAGAAAGUCUAAAAGUCAAAUAAUGAAGGCACUCAAUAGACGUAAGACGUAUUUCGAAUCCGAAAUUAACUAACAAUACAGUUCACUUUAGUACGUACUAUUCCUAAUAACGACAACCUCCUUUGUAACACAUGUUAUACAAACCACCCUCAAUUUUCUUCCCCUUGUAUAAUAACACUACAAUAUCAAAGAACCUUCAUCAAAGUAGAUAAACAAAUGUUGUAACUACCGAACGACGGAAAAUCAUAACCUUACACAUUAGUGUACGCAAGAAUAUAGAAGAUGCAAUAAGAGCAAAAUUGAGGGCAGGACGCCUAAUAGGAUCCAACAUCCGCUUCUACUUGAGGACUACCAGAUGUGACAGGACGAAACGGUACCUUCAUUUACUCGGUUGCACAUGGUCCCUUAUACGUAUAUGUGGUGUAGAUUAGGUCGUGAUAAAAGAACACCGCUGGCCGCUCCUCUUCUAUGUUUACGGAAGUUUAGGUGGUGAAUAGGGGUGAUGAUAAAGAAACGGAUAAAAAACAGAAGAGAGAUUAAUACCAAGAAAACAAAUAAAAAAUAAUAGACGUCCGAUUCGUUUGGAACUGAGACCGAUUAACCAGAACCUUCGACCUUUGGUCAAGUAUAUAUUCUAAGGAUCCACCACCAGAUGCAGAGAAUAAAAGAUAAUCACUCACGAGUAAAAGGAGUAGACCUCGAUACCAUAAUAGAAACCAAAGUAGUAUAAAAGGAAGGGACUAAAAACAACUACGAACCGAUACAAUACCCUACCCUGGAGGUACACGGUCAUAAAAAUCGGCUAGUCAUACACCACGAUUUUUUAAUUAGACAUGUCUUACUGCAACACGUGUAGGUUGGGGUUCGUUACAUUCUUUGGAUAAUAAACUGAUCGACAUACCAUGUAGAGUAUGUCAAAGAUUAUGACAACAAGGAUAAUUAACCUAUGCGGUUUCCCGUUUCAAUUACAAAACAAGUAGCGAAGAUAUGGGCAAAGAAGUACAAAGAAGUACAAACCAUCACUGGUCCCAAAGGUACAUGAACUAUCUAUGAAAGGAGUACGAUACACAAAAUACAUACGUAUAUACAAAGACCGGUAUUUAUAUAUCGACCGAGGUUGAAAAUGACGAAAGGCACCUUGAAACUUUUCAUGGGAAAUUAGGUGAUUAAGACCUGGACAAUCAAACCCGUGACUUUUGAAACUUUUCAUGGGAACUUAAUCUCCUAAUUUGAUUGUCCAGGUUUUAGGACUUCGGGUUUACUUAGUCAAAAGUCAAAUUUACUUACCACAAUAUCCUCUUCGAUUAGACUUACAAACGUGCCCUAAUGAAUUGAACUGUAUGUAAUAGACCUAGGAACCGGUGAAGAUACGUUUUCGCAAGCUAGAGAAUGAGGUGAUACCUCAAACUAGCUCUUCAAACCCGGAAACCAGUAGACAAUGGACUUUGAAAUUUAGACUGAUGUUUCGGAGGUUUCAGUUUUGAGUUAAGUACAUUUUUAGCCGUUCUCAAAUCUCCUAAACCGAGGUGUAAAAAACUAGAACAAUCAUGAAAGUGGAACGAUUAAGUUUUACACACUUAGGAUUACUUGAGACAUCUCAUCCUCUUUGAUGGUGUUCAGUUCCACUCUGGGUACGGACUUUUCCCCUUUAGUGAGACCUCAGCCGAGUUCUUGUUCCGAUCUGGGCUUAGAACAAAUGAGUGACAUAAGUGAUAGAUAUUUCAACAUACAAAUAAAAGAAACGUUUGUUCACAACCUUAUAACCGAAGAGUAUGGAUACAUGUCAUUGAAUUCAUAUAGGGGCCUCUGAAAUACUAGUCGUUAGUAUGUUUCAUUUACUACGCAAAAGAAAGUUUAUCUAUCUGUUUUCCACCUGGCUCCCGAAGAAACGGUGUAGGUACCGAUAACGACCUUCAACUAACCUCCAGAACUGCAGGUCUUUACGAUCAAAACAUCUAAUCCGUUCACAUAAGAAGUAAAAGACGACGACACACACGUGUAUCAUGUACACUUAAGACGGACGUAAGGUAAAGUAUUUAAUUAACUCGUAAGAUUAUUAACUCUGAACAAAUUGAAAACAUCCUUCGUUUGUAUUCCUGAGCUGAGUGUUACUUGGUACUUCGGUCGCUAGACGUAUUUUACCUACAGAGUAUCAACGUCAGAAAAGCGACAGGAAACAACUUGGACUACAUACCACAGAACCACCAAUACAAACCUUGUUGACUUCACAUACAUACACUGGUAAUCAAUUACCUUAUUUUUUACAAACCAC
RNAcentral lists this ribosomal RNA (2583 nucleotides) under Triticum aestivum (bread wheat). RNAcentral describes it as "partial small subunit ribosomal RNA". Lineage: Eukaryota; Viridiplantae; Streptophyta; Magnoliopsida; Poales; Poaceae. The record is from RNAcentral.